Molecule: ribosomal RNA, 1209 nt
Filed under: metagenome
Description: bacterial SSU rRNA
Rfam family: Bacterial small subunit ribosomal RNA
Source: RNAcentral
GGAUGGUCAGCCACAUCGGGACUGAGACACUGCCCGGACUCCUACGGGAGGCUGCAGUCGAGAAUCUUUCCCAAUGGACGAAAGUCUGAGGAUGCGACGCCGCGUGGGGGAUGAAGGUUUUCGAAUUGUAAACCCCUUUUAUUGAGGAGCAAAAGUCGCCUUUUGAAUAAGGGGGCGAAAUUGACUGUACUCUAUGAAUAAGCCACGGCUAACUCCGUGCCAGCAGCCGCGGUAAUACGGAGGUGGCAAGCGUUACUCGGUUUGACUGGGUGUAAAGGGUCCGUAGGCGGCCAGGCAAGUGAAAGGUGAAAUCCUUCGGCUUAACCGGAGAAUGGCCUUUCAAACUGUUUGGCUUGAGGCUGGAAGAGGAAAGUGGAACUGCUAGUGUAAGGGUGAAAUCUGUGGAUAUUAGCAGGAAUGCCUGUGGUGUAGACGGCUUUCCGGUCCAGACCUGACGCUCAGGGACGAAAGCUAGGGGAGCGAACAGGAUUAGAUACCCUGGUAGUCUUAGCUGUAAACGAUGGGCACUAGGUGUCUGUCCGUAAGGAUGGGUGUCGUAGCUAACGCGUUAAGUGCCCCACCUGGGGACUACGGCCGCAAGGCUAAAACUCAAAGGAAUUGACGGGGACCCGCACAAGCGGUGGAACACGUGGUUUAAUUCGAUGCUACGCGAGGAACCUUACCAGGGUUUGACAUGCUGGAAGUAAUCGCCCGAAAGGGUGGGUGACUUGUAUCCAAUCAAGAACCAGCACAGGUGCUGCAUGGUUGUCGUCAGCUCGUGCCGUGAGGUGUUCCCUUAAGUGGGAGAACGAGCGCAACCCUCGCCUUUUGUUGCUAUUCCGGAGCUUGUCUUUGGAAGCACUCUAAAGGGACUGCCCGCAUUAAGUGGGAGGAAGGUGGGGACGACGUCAAAUCAGCAUGGCCCUUAUGUCCUGGGCUACACACGUGUUACAAUGCCUACUACAAUGGGGGGCCAAAUCGUAAGAUGGAGCAAAUCUCAAAAAAGUAGGCCCAGUUCGGAUUGAGGGCUGCAACUCGCCCUCAUGAAGCUGGAAUCGCUAGUAAUGGCGCAUCAGCAACGGCGCCGUGAAUACGUUCCCGGGUCUUGUACACACCGCCCGUCAAGCGCUGAAAGUGGGGGGCACCCGAAGCUCCGAUUAUUCGGAGUCACGGUGAAUUUCAUGAUUGGCGCUAAGUCGUAACAAGGUA